GGUCGGCAGAGCGGGGAUCCAUUUGCAAGCUUUAUUAAGAACAGUAUUUACACAGGUAGACAGGGGCAAAGGCAGGAACAUAAACAAGGACAGGCAAUGGUCGAGGCAGGCGGCAGACAAACAGAAUCAGGGUACAGGCAAGGAUCAGGGCAGGCAGCAAACAAUCACAGUCCAGGAAACAGGCAAAGAUCAGGGCAGGCAGCAGAGAAUCACAAAGAAUAAACAAUCCAACCGGAAACCAGGAAACAGUCCACAAGAAAACGCUCAGUAAUGAUCACAACAGCAAAUCAAGACUUCGCAAUGAGGUGGUGUGUGUGUGAGUCCUUUAUAGUCCAGGUAGUGUGCUAAGCUGUAUGUGGCAACUGGUGAUUGGUGUGGAGUGUGCAUGUGAUUAGCAAGGAGGAUUAUGGGAAAUGGAGUCCAGGAACUGACAGGAACAGACAGUGAUCGUGACAUAACGCCCCCCUUCCGGAAGGCGCGUCCUCGCGGCGUAAAUGGCACAGAUAGGGAGGGGGGGUGGGUACAUUGGAGACCUGUUGGCAGACGGGAACGGGGUCUCCAAUGCAGGUCCAGGAACUCGGGCGGCCACGGCGGGUCAGGUGCCACGGGCGGCCACGGCGGGUCAGGUGCCACGGGCGGCCACGGCGGGUCAGGUGCCACGGGCGGCCACGGCGGGUCAGGUGCCACGGGCGGCCACGGCGGGUCAGGUGCCACGGGCGGCCACGGCGGGUCAGGUGCCACGGGCGGCCACGGCGGGUCAGGUGCCACGGGCGGCCACGGCGGGUCAGGGUCCGUAGCUGGCCACAGCAGUUCACAGGCGGUUGAAGGCCGUGGGCGUGUAAGGUCCCCACCCGCAAGCUCAACACUGGCAAAACAUCAGCACUGGCAAAGCGGCCAUCUUGUCCAUAGCAUCCAGAGAGCUUGAGGGUGUCGCAACCGGCGAGCUUGAGGGCGUCGCAACCGGCGAGCUUGAGGGCGUCGCAACCGGCGAGCUUGAGGGCGUAGCGGCCAGCGGGCUUGAGUGCGAAGCGGCCGGCGGAGGCUUAGGAAUGCCAGUCGCUCGUGCUGAAGUCAGCGGUGGAUCAGCCACACUGGAACGCAACCCACACCGCUCCCAAACAGAUCCAGAGACGUGAUGUAGAUCUAGAAGAUCAGUGGAGAUGGGACGUGACUCGGGAAGUUUAACUUGGUCUUGACUUGGCAUUGUAGUAGUGGUGGCCGCCAUUUUGUGAGUGUCAUCUGGCGCGGCAGCCAUUACACGACCAGACGAGGUGUCGCAUUCCUCAGCGACACCCACAGUAAAGGGAGAGCCCACAUUCAAUAAAGCAUAAUCCAGAAACUGACUUAGAGAUGAACGGGGUCCCUCACGAAUGAGUUGUUUUUUAAGUGGCUGGUUAACACCCUCACAGAAAAAGUCUAUCAGUACACAGUCUGGCAGAUCUGAACCAUAUGCAACAUCCAAAUAUUCUCUGAUGUAUUCCUCCAACGACCGGGUGCCCUGCUUGAGCCAUAAUAAUAAUUGUGCAAUGUUCAUACCGGGCCAGUGUUCUCCAGGAGAGCCGCUGGAUCCAUGUGUCGGCGAAGUCUUCUGUAAUGAUGGGUCGGCAGAGCGGGGAUCCAUUUGCAAGCUUUAUUAAGAACAGUAUUUACACAGGUAGACAGGGGCAAAGGCAGGAACAUAAACAAGGACAGGCAAUGGUCGAGGCAGGCGGCAGACAAACAGAAUCAGGGUACAGGCAAGGAUCAGGGCAGGCAGCAAACAAUCACAGUCCAGGAAACAGGCAAAGAUCAGGGCAGGCAGCAGAGAAUCACAAAGAAUAAACAAUCCAACCAGAAACCAGGAAACAGUCCACAAGAAAACGCUCAGUAAUGAUCACAACAGCAAAUCAAGACUUCGCAAUGAGGUGGUGUGUGUGUGAGUCUUUUAUA
This is a long non-coding RNA of Ctenopharyngodon idella (grass carp), 1929 nucleotides long. RefSeq lists it as uncharacterized. The record is from RefSeq and is a predicted model, not a curated record. The transcript has 3 exons. NCBI's taxonomy places the organism in Eukaryota, Metazoa, Chordata, Actinopteri, Cypriniformes, Xenocyprididae.